GCGGGAAGGAAAAUUCUUUCCUCUUUUGUGUGUAUACAAUUGGGGAUAUCACCAUCGGCCUGCCUGCUCUGCUUUUUCUACUGUAACAGCGAACGAACACGAAGAAUCUUCUUAUCUAUCUAUCUAUCUUCUUUUCUGAUUCUUGUCCUCUGUCCAGUUGUUUGCUUUUAAAUUUUUAGUUCUAUUUAUGUUUAUAUCUUUUC
RNAcentral lists this unclassified non-coding RNA (203 nucleotides) under Hevea brasiliensis (rubber tree). The record is from RNAcentral. Lineage: Eukaryota; Viridiplantae; Streptophyta; Magnoliopsida; Malpighiales; Euphorbiaceae.